Molecule: ribosomal RNA, 255 nt
Filed under: uncultured bacterium
Lineage: Bacteria
Description: partial 16S ribosomal RNA
Rfam family: Bacterial small subunit ribosomal RNA
Source: RNAcentral
CACGUAGGGUGCGAGCGUUUGUCCGGAAUUAUUGGGCGUAAAGAGCUCGUAGGCGGUUUGUUGCGUCGGCUGUGAAAUCCCGAGGCUCAACCUCGGGUCUGCAGUCGAUACGAGCAAACUAGAGUGUUGCAGGGGAGACUGGAAUUCCUGGUGUAGCGGUGAAAUGCGUAGAGAUCAUGAGGAAGACCAGUGGCGAAGGCGGGUCUCUGGACAGUUCCUGACACUGAGACACGGAAGGCCAGGGGAGCAAACGGG